This 205-nucleotide long non-coding RNA is filed under the name Gossypium raimondii (Peruvian cotton). RNAcentral describes it as "long non-coding RNA (GRAI_LNC004365)". Lineage: Eukaryota; Viridiplantae; Streptophyta; Magnoliopsida; Malvales; Malvaceae. The record is from RNAcentral.
CCUGAAGUUACAGUGGAGCAGAUUAAAGCCAAUAAUCCUAUCUCCCUGAAGUUAUAGUGGAGCGGAUUAAAAUCACAGAUCUUAUCUCUCUGGAGUUGCAGAGAGCAGAUCGCAUCAAAUUCAUCUUUAAGUUGUAAUAGAUCAAGUUGAAGCUAUAAGUCUUAUCUUCCUGAAGUUGCAGUGGAGCACAUUAAAGAUAGCAAAU